Molecule: ribosomal RNA, 493 nt
Filed under: uncultured bacterium
Lineage: Bacteria
Description: partial 16S ribosomal RNA
Rfam family: Bacterial small subunit ribosomal RNA
Source: RNAcentral
GAUGAACGCUGGCGGCGUGCCUAACACAUGCAAGUUGAGCGACCGACCAGGGCUUGCCCUGGGGCAAAGCAGCGAACGGGUGAGUAACACGUGGGUAACCUACCCCGAUAACCGGCACAACCCGAGGAAACUCGGGCUAACACCGGAUGUGCACACUGGACUUCGGCUUAGUUCGUAAGGGAAGCUCGGUCUUCCUUACCCUGAUGGGCCCGCGGCGCCUUCGUUAGUUGGUGAGUUAGGGGCUCACUAAGCCAGCGAUGGAUAGCUGGUCUGAGAGGGCGAGCGGCCACACUGGAACGGAGACACGGUCCAGACUCCUACGGGAGGCAGCAGUAGGGAAUCUUCCGCAAUGGGCGAAAGCGUGACGGAGCAGCGCCGCGUGGGUGAUGAAGGUCUUCGGAUCGUAAACCUCUGUUAGUAGGGAAGAAGAUAGGUGGAAGAAACUGUGCACAUCUUGACGGUACCUAAUCAGAAAGCCACGGCUAACUACGUG